UGACCUCUGCUAGCUCGUCAG
This 21-nucleotide unclassified non-coding RNA is filed under the name Mus musculus (house mouse). RNAcentral describes it as "oocyte_clustered_small_RNA10145". Lineage: Eukaryota; Metazoa; Chordata; Mammalia; Rodentia; Muridae. The record is from RNAcentral.